Molecule: ribosomal RNA, 406 nt
Filed under: uncultured bacterium
Lineage: Bacteria
Description: partial 16S ribosomal RNA
Rfam family: Bacterial small subunit ribosomal RNA
Source: RNAcentral
AUUGAACGCUGGCGGCAGGCCUAACACAUGCAAGUCGAGCGAGCGGCGGACGGGUGAGUAAUGUCUGGGAAACUGCCUGAUGGAGGGGGAUAACUACUGGAAACGGUAGCUAAUACCGCAUACCAUCAGAUGUGCCCAGAUGGGUUAAGCUAGUAGGUGGGGUAACGGCUCCCCUAGGCGACGAUCCCUAGCUGGUCUGAGAGGUUGACCAGCCACACGGGAACUGAGUCACGGUCCAGACUCCUACGGGAGGCAGCAGUGGGGAAUAUUGCAGAAUGGGCGAAAGCCUGAUACAGCCAUGCCGCGUGUGUGGAGAAGGCCUUCGGGUUGUAAAGCACUUUCAGCGGGGAGGCGUUACCCGCAGAAGAAGCACCGGCUAACUCCGUGCCAGCAGCCGCGGUAAUAC